RNAcentral lists this ribosomal RNA (465 nucleotides) under uncultured bacterium. RNAcentral's name for it is "partial 16S ribosomal RNA". It matches the Rfam family "Bacterial small subunit ribosomal RNA", at positions 28 to 507 of the family's 1533-position model. The record is from RNAcentral.
GACGAACGCUGGCGGCGUGCUUAACACAUGCAAGUCGAACGGAAAGGCCCCCUUGUGGGGUACUCGAGUGGCGAACGGGUGAGUAACACGUGAGUAACCUACCCUUGACUUUGGGAUAACUUCAGGAAACUGGGGCUAAUACCGGAUAGGAGCUCCAGCUGCAUGGUGGGGGUUGGAAAGUUUCGGCGGUUGGGGAUGGACUCGCGGCUUAUCAGCUUGUUGGUGGGGUAGUGGCUCACCAAGGCUUUGACGGGUAGCCGGCCUGAGAGGGUGACCGGCCACAUUGGGACUGAGAUACGGCCCAGACUCCUACGGGAGGCAGCAGUGGGGAAUAUUGCACAAUGGGCGGAAGCCUGAUGCAGCAACGCCGCGUGCGGGAUGACGGCCUUCGGGUUGUAAACCGCUUUCGCCUGUGACGAAGCGUGAGUGACGGUAAUGGGUAAAGAAGCACCGGCUAACUACGUG